UCCGCAAUGGGCGCAAGCCUGACGGAGCAACGCCGCGUGAGCGAGGAAGGCCUUCGGGUUGUAAAGCUCAGUCAAGGGGGAAGAGCGGCAAGGAGAGGGAAUGCUCUUUGCGAGACGGUACCCCGAGAGGAAGCCCCGGCAAACUACGUGCCAGCAGCCGCGGUAAUACGUAGGGGGCAAGCGUUGUCCGGAAUCACUGGGCGUAAAGGGUGCGUAGGCGGUUCUGCAAGUCUGGGGUGAAAGGCCAGGGCUCAACCUUGGGAAUGCCUUGGAAACUGUAGGACUUGAGUACUGGAGAGGCAAGGGGAAUUCCACGUGUAGCGGUGAAAUGCGUAGAGAUGUGGAGGAAUACCAGUGGCGAAGGC
RNAcentral lists this ribosomal RNA (365 nucleotides) under uncultured bacterium. RNAcentral describes it as "bacterial SSU rRNA". It matches the Rfam family "Bacterial small subunit ribosomal RNA", at positions 365 to 722 of the family's 1533-position model. The record is from RNAcentral.